Molecule: long non-coding RNA, 438 nt
Filed under: Rattus norvegicus (Norway rat)
Lineage: Eukaryota; Metazoa; Chordata; Mammalia; Rodentia; Muridae
Description: long non-coding RNA NONRATT022132
Source: RNAcentral
GUUGUGGCAGUAGUGACAGGUAUGGGAGCACAGCUCUAUCAGACAAAGAAGCACUUUGUUGCCAAGUGGGCCCAGCAGCAUGGAGCUGUUGCUCAUCCUGAUCACCCUGCUGCCCAUAGGCGAGCACAGGGCUGCGGCACUUCCCUCUUGAUUGUGCCCAAACCAUCAAGGCAGCCAGUGUCAAGUGCAGGGAGGUAUGCAGUGACCUGGAGCUCAUGCAGAUCCUGCUCCAGCUCUAUCAUCACCCUGACACUGGGCAUCAACAGCAUACCCUAGAUAAGUCUCAGCAAUAGUCCAGCAUUUACCGGAAACCUGAAGCAGGCCAAUGACUUGUUGCAAUAACGACUUGCUUUUUGGGCAAAACUGGCAGCUUGCAGUCCCACUUUAAUAAUGAAUUUGAAGAAGCAGGGGGAGUGGGGAGAGGUAGGGAGGGGAGAA